This 459-nucleotide ribosomal RNA is filed under the name uncultured bacterium. Its description in RNAcentral is "partial 16S ribosomal RNA". It matches the Rfam family "Bacterial small subunit ribosomal RNA", at positions 28 to 497 of the family's 1533-position model. The record is from RNAcentral.
GAUGAACGCUGGCGGCGUGCCUAAUACAUGCAAGUCGAGCGGAAAGGCCUCUUCGGAGGUACUCGAGCGGCGGACGGCUGAGUAACACGUAGGAAUGUACCCCAAAGUGAGGGAUAACUGCUCGAAAGAGUAGCUAAUACCGCAUGUGAUCCACGGAUUAAAGCUUUAUGCGCUUUGGGAACAGCCUGCGUAUGAUUAGUUAGUUGGUGAGGUAAUGGCUCACCAAGACGAUGAUCAUUAGCUGGUCUGAGAGGAUGAUCAGCCAGACUGGGACUGAGACACGGCCCAGACUCCUACGGGAGGCAGCAGUAGGGAAUUUUCCACAAUGGGGGCAACCCCGAUGGAGCAACGCCGCGUGCAGGAUGAAUGCCUUCGGGUUGUAAACUGCUUUUGUACGGAACGAAACGGUUCUCUCUAAUACAGGGGGCUAAUGACGGUACCGUAAGAAUAAGCACCGGC